AUACGGAGGAUGCGAGCGUUAUCCGGAUUUAUUGGGUUUAAAGGGAGCGUAGGUGGGAUAUUAAGUCAGCUGUGAAAGUUUGGGGCUCAACCUUAAAAUUGCAGUUGAUACUGGUUUCCUUGAGUACGGUACAGGUGGGCGGAAUUCGUGGUGUAGCGGUGAAAUGCUUAGAUAUCACGAAGAACUCCGAUCGCGAAGGCAGCUCACCGGGCCGGAACUGACACUGAUGCUCGAAAGUGCGGGUAUCAAACAGGAUUAGAUACCCUGGUAGUCCGCACAGUAAACGAUGAAUACUCGCUGUUUGCGAUACACGGUAAGCGGCCAAGCGAAAGCGUUAAGUAUUCCACCUGGGGAGUACGCCGGCAACGGUGAAACUCAAAGGAAUUGGCGGG
RNAcentral lists this ribosomal RNA (392 nucleotides) under uncultured bacterium. RNAcentral describes it as "partial 16S ribosomal RNA". It matches the Rfam family "Bacterial small subunit ribosomal RNA", at positions 523 to 917 of the family's 1533-position model. The record is from RNAcentral.